GACGAACGCUGGCGGCGUGCUUAACACAUGCAAGUCGAACGGAAAGGCCCUGCUUUUGUGGGGUGCUCGAGUGGCGAACGGGUGAGUAACACGUGAGUAACCUGCCCUUGACUUUGGGAUAACUUCAGGAAACUGGGGCUAAUACCGGAUAGGAGCUCCUGCUGCAUGGUGGUGGUUGGAAAGUUUCGGCGGUUGGGGAUGGACUCGCGGCUUAUCAGCUUGUUGGUGGGGUAGUGGCUUACCAAGGCUUUGACGGGUAGCCGGCCUGAGAGGGUGACCGGCCCCAUUGGGACUGAGAUACGGCCCAGACUCCUACGGGAGGCAGCAGUGGGGAAUAUUGCACAAUGGGCGGAAGCCUGAUGCAGCAACGCCGCGUGCGGGAUGACGGCCUUCGGGUUGUAAAACGCUUUCGCCUGUGACGAAGCGUGAGUGACGGUAAUGGGUAAAGAAGCACCGGCUAACUACGUG
Molecule: ribosomal RNA, 468 nt
Filed under: uncultured bacterium
Lineage: Bacteria
Description: partial 16S ribosomal RNA
Rfam family: Bacterial small subunit ribosomal RNA
Source: RNAcentral